Molecule: ribosomal RNA, 488 nt
Filed under: uncultured bacterium
Lineage: Bacteria
Description: bacterial SSU rRNA
Rfam family: Bacterial small subunit ribosomal RNA
Source: RNAcentral
GAUGAACGCUAGCGGCAGGCCUAAUACAUGCAAGUCGGACGGGAUCCAUCGGUAGCUUGCUACCGAUGGUGAGAGUGGCGCACGGGUGCGUAACGCGUGAGCAACCUGCCCAUAUCAGGGGGAUAGCCCGGAGAAAUCCGGAUUAACACCGCAUGACACUGCUUUCCGGCAUCGGGGAGCGGUCAAAUAUUCAUAGGAUAUGGAUGGGCUCGCGUGACAUUAGCUAGUUGGUGGGGUAACGGCCCACCAAGGCGACGAUGUCUAGGGGCUCUGAGAGGAGAAUCCCCCACACUGGUACUGAGACACGGACCAGACUCCUACGGGAGGCAGCAGUAAGGAAUAUUGGUCAAUGGGGGCAACCCUGAACCAGCCAUGCCGCGUGCAGGACGACUGCCCUAUGGGUUGUAAACUGCUUUUGUUAGGGAAUAAACCCCGCUACGUGUAGCGGGCUGAAUGUACCUAAAGAAUAAGGAUCGGCUAACUCCGUG